This 339-nucleotide long non-coding RNA is filed under the name Lathyrus oleraceus (garden pea). RNAcentral's name for it is "Pisum sativum (pea) long non-coding RNA (PSAT_LNC034669)". Lineage: Eukaryota; Viridiplantae; Streptophyta; Magnoliopsida; Fabales; Fabaceae. The record is from RNAcentral.
GAACUCUCUUGAAGCCAAACAUGGUGACACCCGGAUCUGAUGCACCAAAGGUUGCACCUGAGGUUAUUGCCGAGCACACCGUUAGAGCUCUGCAGAGAACCGUCCCUGCCGCAGUUCCAGCUGUUGUUUUCUUGUCUGGUGGACAGAGUGAAGAAGAGGCCAGUGUUAACCUCAAUGCCAUCAACCAAAUCAAAGGUAAGAAGCCAUGGACUCUUUCCUUCUCUUUCGGAAGGGCACUUCAACAGAGUACCCUUAAGGCAUGGGGUGGAAAGACAGAAAAUGUGAAGGCAGCUCAAGAUGCUUUGUUGACAAGAGCUAAGGCUAAUUCUGAGGCUACUC